UUAAGCGACUAAGCGUACACGGUGGAUGCCCUGGCAGUCAGAGGCGAUGAAGGACGUGCUAAUCUGCGAUAAGCGUCGGUAAGGUGAUAUGAACCGUUAUAACCGGCGAUUUCCGAAUGGGGAAACCCAGUGUGUUUCGACACACUAUCAUUAACUGAAUCCAUAGGUUAAUGAGGCGAACCGGGGGAACUGAAACAUCUAAGUACCCCGAGGAAAAGAAAUCAACCGAGAUUCCCCCAGUAGCGGCGAGCGAACGGGGAGCAGCCCAGAGCCUGAAUCAGUGUGUGUGUUAGUGGAAGCGUCUGGAAAGGCGCGCGAUACAGGGUGACAGCCCCGUACACAAAAAUGCACAUGCUGUGAGCUCGAUGAGUAGGGCGGGACACGUGGUAUCCUGUCUGAAUAUGGGGGGACCAUCCUCCAAGGCUAAAUACUCCUGACUGACCGAUAGUGAACCAGUACCGUGAGGGAAAGGCGAAAAGAACCCCGGCGAGGGGAGUGAAAAAGAACCUGAAACCGUGUACGUACAAGCAGUGGGAGCCUCUUAAUGGGGUGACUGCGUACCUUUUGUAUAAUGGGUCAGCGACUUAUAUUCUGUAGCAAGGUUAACCGAAUAGGGGAGCCGAAGGGAAACCGAGUCUUAACUGGGCGUUAAGUUGCAGGGUAUAGACCCGAAACCCGGUGAUCUAGCCAUGGGCAGGUUGAAGGUUGGGUAACACUAACUGGAGGACCGAACCGACUAAUGUUGAAAAAUUAGCGGAUGACUUGUGGCUGGGGGUGAAAGGCCAAUCAAACCGGGAGAUAGCUGGUUCUCCCCGAAAGCUAUUUAGGUAGCGCCUCGUGAAUUCAUCUCCGGGGGUAGAGCACUGUUUCGGCAAGGGGGUCAUCCCGACUUACCAACCCGAUGCAAACUGCGAAUACCGGAGAAUGUUAUCACGGGAGACACACGGCGGGUGCUAACGUCCGUCGUGAAGAGGGAAACAACCCAGACCGCCAGCUAAGGUCCCAAAGUCAUGGUUAAGUGGGAAACGAUGUGGGAAGGCCCAGACAGCCAGGAUGUUGGCUUAGAAGCAGCCAUCAUUUAAAGAAAGCGUAAUAGCUCACUGGUCGAGUCGGCCUGCGCGGAAGAUGUAACGGGGCUAAACCAUGCACCGAAGCUGCGGCAGCGACGCUUAUGCGUUGUUGGGUAGGGGAGCGUUCUGUAAGCCUGCGAAGGUGUGCUGUGAGGCAUGCUGGAGGUAUCAGAAGUGCGAAUGCUGACAUAAGUAACGAUAAAGCGGGUGAAAAGCCCGCUCGCCGGAAGACCAAGGGUUCCUGUCCAACGUUAAUCGGGGCAGGGUGAGUCGACCCCUAAGGCGAGGCCGAAAGGCGUAGUCGAUGGGAAACAGGUUAAUAUUCCUGUACUUGGUGUUACUGCGAAGGGGGGACGGAGAAGGCUAUGUUGGCCGGGCGACGGUUGUCCCGGUUUAAGCGUGUAGGCUGGUUUUCCAGGCAAAUCCGGAAAAUCAAGGCUGAGGCGUGAUGACGAGGCACUACGGUGCUGAAGCAACAAAUGCCCUGCUUCCAGGAAAAGCCUCUAAGCAUCAGGUAACAUCAAAUCGUACCCCAAACCGACACAGGUGGUCAGGUAGAGAAUACCAAGGCGCUUGAGAGAACUCGGGUGAAGGAACUAGGCAAAAUGGUGCCGUAACUUCGGGAGAAGGCACGCUGAUACGUAGGUGAAGUCCCUUGCGGAUGGAGCUGAAAUCAGUCGAAGAUACCAGCUGGCUGCAACUGUUUAUUAAAAACACAGCACUGUGCAAACACGAAAGUGGACGUAUACGGUGUGACGCCUGCCCGGUGCCGGAAGGUUAAUUGAUGGGGUUAGCGGUAACGCGAAGCUCUUGAUCGAAGCCCCGGUAAACGGCGGCCGUAACUAUAACGGUCCUAAGGUAGCGAAAUUCCUUGUCGGGUAAGUUCCGACCUGCACGAAUGGCGUAAUGAUGGCCAGGCUGUCUCCACCCGAGACUCAGUGAAAUUGAACUCGCUGUGAAGAUGCAGUGUACCCGCGGCAAGACGGAAAGACCCCGUGAACCUUUACUAUAGCUUGACACUGAACAUUGAGCCUUGAUGUGUAGGAUAGGUGGGAGGCUUUGAAGUGUGGACGCCAGUCUGCAUGGAGCCGACCUUGAAAUACCACCCUUUAAUGUUUGAUGUUCUAACGUUGGCCCCUAAUCGGGGUUGCGGACAGUGUCUGGUGGGUAGUUUGACUGGGGCGGUCUCCUCCUAAAGAGUAACGGAGGAGCACGAAGGUUGGCUAAUCCUGGUCGGACAUCAGGAGGUUAGUGCAAUGGCAUAAGCCAGCUUGACUGCGAGCGUGACGGCGCGAGCAGGUGCGAAAGCAGGUCAUAGUGAUCCGGUGGUUCUGAAUGGAAGGGCCAUCGCUCAACGGAUAAAAGGUACUCCGGGGAUAACAGGCUGAUACCGCCCAAGAGUUCAUAUCGACGGCGGUGUUUGGCACCUCGAUGUCGGCUCAUCACAUCCUGGGGCUGAAGUAGGUCCCAAGGGUAUGGCUGUUCGCCAUUUAAAGUGGUACGCGAGCUGGGUUUAGAACGUCGUGAGACAGUUCGGUCCCUAUCUGCCGUGGGCGCUGGAGAACUGAGGGGGGCUGCUCCUAGUACGAGAGGACCGGAGUGGACGCAUCACUGGUGUUCGGGUUGUCAUGCCAAUGGCACUGCCCGGUAGCUAAAUGCGGAAGAGAUAAGUGCUGAAAGCAUCUAAGCACGAAACUUGCCCCGAGAUGAGUUCUCCCUGACCCUUGAGAGUCCUGAAGGAACGUUGAAGACGACGACGUUGAUAGGCCGGGUGUGUAAGCGCAGCGAUGCGUUGAGCUAACCGGUACUAAUGAACCGUGAGGCUUAACCU
This 2901-nucleotide ribosomal RNA is filed under the name Escherichia coli. Its description in RNAcentral is "23S ribosomal RNA". It matches the Rfam family "Bacterial large subunit ribosomal RNA". Lineage: Bacteria; Pseudomonadati; Pseudomonadota; Gammaproteobacteria; Enterobacterales; Enterobacteriaceae. The record is from RNAcentral.